This 458-nucleotide ribosomal RNA is filed under the name uncultured organism. RNAcentral's name for it is "bacterial SSU rRNA". It matches the Rfam family "Bacterial small subunit ribosomal RNA", at positions 346 to 794 of the family's 1533-position model. The record is from RNAcentral.
GUGCACCAGUCGAGAAUUUUUCGCAAUGGGGGCAACCCUGACGGAGCGACGCCGCGUGGAGGAUGAAGGUCUUCGGAUUGUAAACUCCUGUCAUUGGUGAACAAGGGGAUUCGCAUUAACUGUGCGGGUCUUUGCUAGUAGCCGAAGAGGAAGGGACGGCUAACUCUGUGCCAGCAGCCGCGGUAAUACAGAGGUCCCGAGCGUUGUUCGGAUUCAUUGGGCGUAAAGGGUGCGUAGGCGGUUUUCUAAGUUUGAUGUGAAAUCCCGGGGCUCAACCCUGGAAUUGUCAUUGAAUACUGGGAGACUAGAGUACUGGAGAGGAAACUGGAAUUUACGGUGUAGCAGUGAAAUGCGUAGAGAUCGUAAGGAAGACCAGUGGCGAAGGCGAGUUUCUGGACAGUUACUGACGCUGAGGCACGAAGGCCAGGGGAGCAAACGGGAUUAGAUACCCUUGUAGU